RNAcentral lists this ribosomal RNA (500 nucleotides) under uncultured bacterium. RNAcentral's name for it is "partial 16S ribosomal RNA". It matches the Rfam family "Bacterial small subunit ribosomal RNA", at positions 30 to 523 of the family's 1533-position model. The record is from RNAcentral.
AUUGAACGCUGGCGGCAGGCCUAACACAUGCAAGUCGAGCGGAUGACGGGAGCUUGCUCCUUGAUUCAGCGGCGGACGGGUGAGUAAUGCCUAGGAAUCUGCCUGGUAGUGGGGGACAACGUUUCGAAAGGAACGCUAAUACCGCAUACGUCCUACGGGAGAAAGCAGGGGACCUUCGGGCCUUGCGCUAUCAGAUGAGCCUAGGUCGGAUUAGCUGGUAGGUGAGGUAAUGGCUCACCUAGGCGACGAUCCGUAACUGGUCUGAGAGGUGGAUCAGCCACCCUGGAACGGAGACACGGCCAGGACUCCUAGGGGAGGCAGCAGUGGGGAAGAUUGGACAAUGGGCGAAGGCCGGUGCCAGCCAUGCGGCGUGUGUGAAGAAGGUCUUCGGAUUGUAAAGCACUUUAAGUUGGGAGGAAGGGCAGUAAGUUAAUACCUUGCUGUUUUGACGUUACCGACAGAAUAAGCACCGGCUAACUCUGUGCCAGCCGCCGCCGUAA